GGUCGCGUGGCCAAAUGGCAAGGCGUCUGGCUACGAACCAGAAGAUUGUGGGUUCGAUCCCCACCGUGACCU
Molecule: transfer RNA, 72 nt
Rfam family: tRNA
About the family: Transfer RNA (tRNA) molecules are approximately 80 nucleotides in length. Their secondary structure includes four short double-helical elements and three loops (D, anti-codon, and T loops).
Source: Rfam